Molecule: ribosomal RNA, 497 nt
Filed under: uncultured bacterium
Lineage: Bacteria
Description: partial 16S ribosomal RNA
Rfam family: Bacterial small subunit ribosomal RNA
Source: RNAcentral
GAUGAACGCUGGCGGCGUGCCUAAUACAUGCAAGUCGAGCGAACGGACGAGAAGCUUGCUUCUCUGAUGUUAGCGGCGGACGGGUGAGUAACACGUGGAUAACCUACCUAUAAGACUGGGAUAACUUCGGGAAACCGGAGCUAAUACCGGAUAAUAUUUUGAACCGCAUGGUUCAAAAGUGAAAGACGGUCUUGCUGUCACUUAUAGAUGGAUCCGCGCUGCAUUAGCUAGUUGGUAAGGUAACGGCUUACCAAGGCAACGAUGCAUAGCCGACCUGAGAGGGUGAUCGGCGACACUGGAACUGAGACACGGUCCAGACUCCUACGGGAGGCAGCAGUAGGGAAUCUUCCGCAAUGGGCGAAAGCCUGACGGAGCAGCGCCGCGUGAGUGAUGAAGGUCUUCGGAUCGUAAAACUCUGUUAUUAGGGAAGAACAUAUGUGUAAGUAACUGUGCACAUCUUGACGGUACCUAAUCAGAAAGCCACGGCUAACUACGUG